This 253-nucleotide ribosomal RNA is filed under the name uncultured bacterium. RNAcentral describes it as "partial 16S ribosomal RNA". It matches the Rfam family "Bacterial small subunit ribosomal RNA", at positions 524 to 776 of the family's 1533-position model. The record is from RNAcentral.
UACAGAGGUCCCAAGCGUUGUUCGGAUUCACUGGGCGUAAAGGGUGCGUAGGUGGUCGGGUAAGUCUGAUGUGAAAGCUCUGGGCUCAACCCAGAAAUGGCAUUGGAUACUAUCUGGCUAGAGGAAUGGAGGGGGGACUGGAAUACUUGGUGUAGCAGUGAAAUGCGUAGAUAUCAAGUGGAACACCAGUGGCGAAGGCGAGUCCCUGGACAUUUCCUGACACUGAGGCACGAAAGCUAGGGGAGCAAACAGG